RNAcentral lists this ribosomal RNA (253 nucleotides) under uncultured bacterium. RNAcentral describes it as "partial 16S ribosomal RNA". It matches the Rfam family "Bacterial small subunit ribosomal RNA", at positions 524 to 776 of the family's 1533-position model. The record is from RNAcentral.
UACGAAGGGGGCUAGCGUUGCUCGGAAUCACUGGGCGUAAAGCGCACGUAGGCGGCGUCUUAAGUCACCUGUGAAAUCUCCUGGCUCAACUGGGAGCUUGCAGGCGAAACUGCCGUGCUGGAGUGUGGGAGAGGUGCGUGGAAUUCCUGGUGUAGCGGUGAAAUGCGUAGAUAUCAGGAGGAACACCUGUGGCGAAAGCGGCGCACUGGACCACAACUGACGCUGAGGCGCGAAAGCUAGGGGAGCAAACAGG